This is a long non-coding RNA of Trichosurus vulpecula (common brushtail), 1885 nucleotides long. RefSeq lists it as uncharacterized. The record is from RefSeq and is a predicted model, not a curated record. Lineage: Eukaryota; Metazoa; Chordata; Mammalia; Diprotodontia; Phalangeridae. The transcript is spliced from 3 exons.
CUCUGGAUCAGCUGGCAGCUCAUGUGGUUCCCUGGACUAAACUAGAUGCCCUCCGGACUUCUUCACAUCUACAUUUUCCGAUGGGAUUUUAUUUCACCAGACAAGAGCUCUGAGCUGCAGCAGUAGUGACGCAUGACCCUGACCCAGCCAUUGUCGUGCUCCCUGGAUGAACUCAGAUGUUGGGUAAAGAAAUUCAAGUCUGCCAUCUCAGACUCUGUUUGCCGGGCUUCUAUCAAACGGCUGAUAUAUCUGUUGACUCGAGUUCCUGGAGUGGUGUAUACAAUGUUUGUAGAAAAAGAGGAUCGAUUCCUGAGUUUUUCAGAGGCUGUUCUUAAUGCUCUCCUCUGCAGUAUUAAUGGAAACAAAAAGACUUGUUCAAAACAUUGAUUUUUAAAAAGAUCACAUAAAAAAACCUCAUUUGACAGAAUAUGUGUUUAUUUUCUCAUCAGCAAACAGGAAUAGUUACCCCUAGAUUGUCCAGUCUUAGUAAAACUAAGGGCUCAGAAACUCUAAAGACGCCAAGAAGCUGACCCCAAAAGCCAUCAGUAUAUUAUUCUCACUCAAAAAAAAAGGAUAUUUAGAAAAUAUACUGGUCUCUGUAUUUCUGCAUGCAGUGUAUUUAUAUUUAAAUGUUCAUUUCAGUUCAUCUUUCAUUUGACUUUGAAGUAAUCCCAAGAGUUAUGGAAUGCAAAUAUUAUCACCACCCUCAUUUGAGAGAUGAAGAAGCUAAGACUAUUGGAAAUGAAGUCCAGAGUGACCCCACUACUAAGCAGCAGAGGGGAGCUUCUGCAACCACUUCAAAAUAUUCACCAGGUCAAACAUGCAGGAACCAUAUUUGCUGAAGUUUCUUUGUUGAGGAUCAAUUAUACAGUCUAUGAAGAUAAUUAUUCAUGUGGUUGUAGCACGUGGCAUAAAUAUUAGUGUCAGUUGGAGAAAAAGAGCCCUAACCAGUUUCUUUGUUUUUCUCUUCAUAGGUAUGAAAACAAACCUGGAAUGCAGAGGAGACUGGAAAUUAACAUGGGCAACUUUAAGAAAAAAGUUUGAGGGCACAAAUAAAUAUUUAAGUAUCAACAUUGAAAAGGUCUGUCAUGGAUCAGAAAAUAUGAUUGGCUUUUAUAGAAUCUUGAGAUCUAGAGUCAAAAGGGAUGUUAUGGGUCAUGUACUCUAGAGCCCACCCAUCUUGAAUUUGGACUUUGCAACACACCCUCCAUGACAAUGGUGAAUGGGCAUCUCUCGGUUCUAAGGCUUCAGUUGAGAAUGAUGUCUUGUUAGUGGAUCAUUUUCUUGUAUGCCAUUUCCAUUUCCUUGUGAGUUAUGAGAAAGAAAUAUUUUAAACAAAGUUAUAAAGGCCAAUAGAUAACUCAGCUAGUCAGAAAGAAAGAGUAUGUUGUAAGAGACAGAGUUGGCGGGAGCAUUGUACUGGUAUACCUGAACAAGUAAAAAACCUAGGAGAAUUAGAAUAAUAGCUAGCAUUUCUGGAACACCUGAAGGUUAGCAAAACGUUUUACAGAUAUUAACUCAUUGGGUUCUUCCAACAAUCCUGUAAGGCAGGUGCUACUAUCACCAUCAUUUUACAAAGGAAGAAACAGCCUAGGAGAGUUUCAAUAACUUGGCCCAGGGUCAUAAAACUAGUGAAUGUCAAAGGCAAUAUUCCAACUCAGAUCUUCCUGGCUCCAGGUCCAGUUCUCGAUGCAAAGCACUGCCCAGCUGCUUGAGGAAGGAAGGUCUCUGGUAUAAGGAGUGGAUUCUUUAAGGGGAAUUUAUGCCAGGGUGCGAUCAAGACAAGAGAGAGGGUAUGACUAAACUGUGAUCUACACACUUACCCCAGUGAGAUGGCAAAAGGAUUUAAUUAGUGAAGGUGACUUCUUUCAUUAUCACCUCCUUC